RNAcentral lists this ribosomal RNA (369 nucleotides) under uncultured bacterium. Its description in RNAcentral is "bacterial SSU rRNA". It matches the Rfam family "Bacterial small subunit ribosomal RNA", at positions 772 to 1118 of the family's 1533-position model. The record is from RNAcentral.
ACUAAAUAGAUACCCGGGUAGUCCACGCGGUAAACGAUGAAUACUAGGCGUAGGUGGAGUGAAAUCCAUCUGUGCCGCAGCAAACGCGAUAAGUAUUCCGCCUGGGGAGUACGGCCGCAAGGCUAAAACUCAAAGGAAUUGACGGGGGCCCGGCCACAAGACAGCGGAGGCGUGUGGUUUUAAGUUUACGUAUGCAACAACGAAGAACCUUAACCCUUGGGUUUGGUACAUCUGCGUAGUAGUGAGCUGAAAGGGGAAACGGACUCUUCGGUAGAGCGCAGACAGGUGCUGCAUGGCGUGUCGUCAGUUCGUGUCGUGAGAUGUUGGGUUAAGUCCCGCAACGAGCGCAACCCCUACUUGCCACGUUAC